Molecule: ribosomal RNA, 233 nt
Filed under: uncultured bacterium
Lineage: Bacteria
Description: partial 16S ribosomal RNA
Rfam family: Bacterial small subunit ribosomal RNA
Source: RNAcentral
UACGUAGGGUGCAGGCGUUAAUCGGAAUUACUGGGCGUAAAGCGUGCGCAGGCGGCUCCUUAAGUCAGAUGUGAAAUCCCCGGGCUUAACCUGGGACUGCGUUUGAAACUGGGGAGCUCGAGUGUGGAAGAGGGGGGUGGAAUUCCAGGUGUAGCAGUGAAAUGCGUAGAGAUCUGGAGGAACACCGAUGGCGAAGGCAGCCCCCUGGGCUAACACUGACGCUCAUGCACGAA